This 301-nucleotide ribosomal RNA is filed under the name uncultured bacterium. RNAcentral's name for it is "partial 16S ribosomal RNA". It matches the Rfam family "Bacterial small subunit ribosomal RNA", at positions 509 to 807 of the family's 1533-position model. The record is from RNAcentral.
CAGCAGCCACGGUAAUACGAAGGGGGCUAGCGUUGCUCGGAAUUACUGGGCGUAAAGGGAGCGUAGGCGGAUGUUUAAGUCAGAGGUGAAAGCCCAGGGCUCAACCUUGGAACUGCCUUUGAUACUGGACAUCUUGAGUGUGGGAGAGGUAAGCGGAACUCCGAGUGUAGAGGUGAAAUUCGUAGAUAUUCGGAAGAACACCAGUGGCGAAGGCGGCUUACUGGCCCAUUACUGACGCUGAGGCGCGAAAGCGUGGGGAGCAAACAGGAUUAGAUACCCCAGUAGUCCCUGUCUCUUAUAC